CCUUUUUUUUCCUGCGUGUUUCCGCUACGCUAAUCCAUUUCUAGUUCUUGGCCGGGCAUGCGCUCCCGAUCUUCCCUGCUCUAAUUUUCUGCGCUUUAUCUCCAGGUUCUCCCUCUUCCAGGCGCUUUCCUCACCCCCAAUCGCGGCCGAAAUUCCGGACCUUUUCCAGCGGCAGAACCGUUGAGUGCGGCGGCGGCGACCGCCGACCGAGCCAAGAAUCCAUAGAUUUCCUUCUGGCGAGCUAGGCCUUCUCCUAGAGGCGUUUCUUGGGAGCCAUAUUUGGUUCCGGAUCCAUGCUGGCCGACGACAUCUUGGGCUACCCUUUCCCCGCCUAGUAUUAUUUUCUUCGCGAGGGUUUCUUGGUUCCUCGGAGGUCCUCCAAGUUCUUGCCAAUCUGGCCAAUCUGGCCCCAACCCCGGGGCGCGGCCGUGUUAGGGUUCGGGGGGCUGGAUGGGGUCGGUCGUGGAUUUUGUGGAGAUCAGCUCCGACGAGGAGGACCUUCCCAUGCCCAGGAAGCCAGCUGACGACUGGCUUGGGAAGCUUUUGAAUGAUGAUGAGCCAAAUGGAGACGAUUUCUUUGAUCUCGUGGUGAUGGGUGAGUUCUCGCCGCCACAGAAGAAGGCCAACCCCGCCGCCGGCGGUGGUGGUGGUGAUGAUGAGGAUGAUGAUGAUUGUGUGGUUCUAGAUGGUGACCCUGAGAAGGCUAUUACCAUCGGGGAGGACAAGGGGAGUGUGGGAGAUAGCAGCUCCGAUGAAUUGCAGAUAGUUGGGGAGAAAGGACCGGUAGCGUGCAGGGACUUCCCUCAUUCACGCCAUCUAUGUUCUAACUUGCCCUUCAGCGCUACUUCUCAUGUGAAGCAUUGUAGCAUGUGUCACUGUUUUGUAUGUGAUGCUCCAGCUCCAUGUAAUUAUUGGGGUAAAGGUAUCCAGCUUAAUGAUCAUUGUCAUGCUACGGAUAAGGAAUCAAAGUGGAAACAGCUGCGGCAAGCAUUCAAGUCUAAAAGUCUUCCAGCAUCUCGUCCAGAACAAUGCCAGAAUGCCAUCUACCCAACAAUGGCACCAUCCAUUAAGAAGGAUAUACAGUGUCAAGUCGCGUCUUUUGCAAACAGAAGUCCUCUUCUGCAUGUUAUGAGCCAAAACCAACAAAGACACACUUCAGUUAGAGUCUCACUGAAUGUAGGACGGACUAUCAGUACACCAAGAGCAUCCCUUGCGACAAAAGCGGGGAGAAGUACAAACAAUGUCCACACUGCUCAAAACAUUCAUUCACGUGGAAACUUCAAAAGAGUAGGGACAGCUUCUCCAGGUCACACAAUCCGAAAUGCUGACCAAUUUGGUCCUAGUGCUCCAAUCAGUACCCCGUCCCUUAUGAACAAUGCAUUGCCACAUGUAUCACAGCCAGUUCAAGCUAUACCAGGAACUAAUACUACCCAUUUAUCUCAGCAAGUUCAACCUAUACAAAGAACCAAUCCUUUCAGUGGUACUGUCAAGAAAAGUGCCCCUCAGAGAUCUCUCAGUGCGCCAAUAGCAUCUCAGGGGCAACAAGGUCAGCUGGCAGCAUCUUCACAGGCUGCCUCAAAUGUAGUGCACGGCGUAGGACCUCAACUUUCCCGGUGCACCUCGCUUAUGAAUGAGAGCAGACAAUUCCUGCCAGAACCAGUAAUCGAUGUUUCCACACAAAGCUGGCAAGACAUACUUGCUAGUGUGGCAUCGGAUCUGGGAGUAUUAGAUGAUUCUGCUUACAAUACCAGUACUUCACGGUCCCAGCAGCCUGUGAGGACUUCCCCUCAACCUCUGGAUGCCGGUGCAAACCAAGGGGAGGAGGGCCUUCAUGCCGAGUCUGUUGCGUCAGCCGUAAACCUGAUGACUUCUAGUGGGCAUGGCUUGCACAUUCAUACAACAGGUGGUGGUACCCAGACAAAUGCUCCUAAGCAAACUUUGCAUCCUCUGAAUUAUGGUGGCAGUCUUAGUCCAGAUGAAGCUCAUCUUGAUGGUUUUCUAAGCCCCCCUGCAGAUGAAUUAUUGUUAGAAGCUGCUCAUCAGAGGGACUCUUCCGGAUUGGAUUCUACAGGCCUUAUAUUUGACUUUGAACUCGACGACUGGGCUUAAGCAGCACUCUCAAAGUCGGAGGCUGUCCCGUCUUUAGCAUUUGGCGGGCUUCGUGGACAAUAGGACAAUAAAACCGGUGAUGUUACUAGUAGCUGGUCCGUAGGGUUUUCCUUCACAUGAGAGGUGAAGAUGUUCCUUGUACAGUAAUUAACUAGGUUGUGUGGUGGAGAUAUUUUCUUAGAUGGGUUGGUGUUUAACCUGUCGGUCAUACGGGCCUUUUUAUUAGGAGGCCGCAGAUGCUAGUAAUCUUUGUCACUCUGUAAUAGAAGAGCAGAAUUUCCACUACCUAGCUAUUGGUCAUAUUUCUAUGGGCCAUAUACUAUUCUAGCGCCAAAAACGCCUGUUUGUGGUACAUGUUGUUGAUUGCCUGCUGGCAUUGUGAGGCAUUUGAUUAUGCAUGCUUGAUAGUAUUAUUAGGAGAAAAGAGUGCCUCAUGAAAAUUCUUAGCUGGAGAGUAGUCCCUAGACUGGUUAUUCACUAGUUAUUCUGUAAGAAAAUCACUAGGGACUACUCUCCAGCCAAGUUCUUACAGAAUAACUAGGGACAGAGGGUUUGAUUCCCUGGUUCUUAACUAGGUGCAGAAUAACUAGUGCUAAAAAUUCACUAGUCUGUUAUACGAUGCCUACUGAUCGUCAAGGGUUUGAACCUGUGGAAACGAGAAACGCGAGUGUUCGCUAAUCUCAAACAUGUAACGAUCUGUCCCGGGUGUGGUGGACCUCAUCUUUUGCGGAUUGGGACGACUGGGAACAUGCUGGAGCUUCCGGUGGUGACCGAUUUGUGAGGGGUUAGCCUACUCAGUGUGGUGUAGGUGUGAGAGUGGAUGUCCUGCACGCAGCGGCAGCUGCACGCAGUUAUCCGGCCGCACCCGAGUCGCGUGGUGAUGCGUGCAGUUUGAUUUGCUAAAGCGCUAAAGCGGAGAUACAUCGUGUAAUACAGAGAGAUACACUAUGUCGCGUCCGUGCAGUGGGCUCGGUCCAUGGUACUUGUCUGACGCGGACAAGAGACGUGCCCCGCGCGUCGUGCAGAGUGGGCCAUCGUUUCUCUGCACCGCUGGCCCCGGUGGUCUGCCCGGAAAGCUAUGUACGGGACUGGGCCUUGUGAUUAGUCGCAUUUGGUGCGUCUCGCACGAAUUCCUUUCCCCGUCUUGGUGGGCGAAGAGCAAGGUGAGCAGCAAGAACAGCACCGGCGUCGGGGCCGCUUCCUGUUCCGGCUGGCGCUGCUCAUGGCGAAUCUCAGAGCGAAGACGGAGGCGGCGUUGGACUCUGGAACGAUCUCAUCGGCAACGGGUUCAGAGGCGUGCGAGCCGCCGUUUGUUUUGGGCGAGGGCGGUGACGCUUUGCCCGAUUCGGCCGUAGUCUCGCCGGAUUCGGCCGUCGAAGCUCCCUCGCCGGACAUUCGUCGGUUGGAUCGAGGGGUGGGCUUGCUGAUGUCCAGUCCUCCGGGGCUUCCUGCAAGAGCUUCAGUGCUGGUGGCGGAGAUGUGGCGUCCGCAAACCCCGGGUGCGGGACUCCUGCCGUCUUCUCGCGCACAUCCGCCGAGUCCAGCCGCCGCAGUGGCUCUUCGGGUUCUUGCACGACAUUCAGUUCUGGGGGCGUGGUCCUGCCGUCGGCGCGAGACUGCGACGAUACGCCGGCCGUCGUCUCGAGCUCGGUCGUGCAGUCCUUAACCCAAAACGGGCCGGGUUCGGGGAACACCACCAUCCGCGUUGGCUGGAAGCGCAGCUAGCUACUGAUUUUCUGCCGUUUACGCCAAUUGUGCAUUUUCCUGUUCUCAGUCGUGCGAGCAAGUACUGAAAUAUUCAUUAGACUUGUGAAUUUGGGUAGGGCUCUGGAUAAAGACUGGAGGAAACAACAGAAAUCUGAAUCAACCCUUCCCAACAAGUUCGUAGAUGUUUUGCUUAAGCCCUAACCAGUGGUUGGUCAGCAAAAAAAUACCCGUGCCACUGCUGUAGUAUGUCCCUGGUUAAUUUUCAGUGACAAAAAGAGCUUGAAUUGCUAGUAAUAAGAAGCACCGUAAUUGCGUGAUUAA
Molecule: RNA transcript, 4137 nt
Organism: Triticum aestivum (bread wheat)
Lineage: Eukaryota; Viridiplantae; Streptophyta; Magnoliopsida; Poales; Poaceae
Exons: 4
Source: RefSeq, a predicted model, not a curated record